CUGUUCGCCAUUUAAAGUGGUACGCGAGCUGGGUUUAGAACGUCGUGAGACAGUUCGGUCCCUAUCUGCCGUGGGCGCUGGAGAACUGAGGGGGGCUGCUCCUAGUACGAGAGGACCGGAGUGGACGCAUCACUGGUGUUCGGGUUGUCAUGCCAAUGGCACUGCCCGGUAGCUAAAUGCGGAAGAGAUAAGUGCUGAAAGCAUCUAAGCACGAAACUUGCCCCGAGAUGAGUUCUCCCUGAGACUUUAGGUCUCCUGAAGGAACGUUGAAGACGACGACGUUGAUAGGCCGGGUGUGUAAGCGCAGCGAUGCGUUGAGCUAACCGGUACUAAUGAACCGUGAGGCUUAACCUUACAACGCCGAAGAUGUUUUG
Molecule: ribosomal RNA, 374 nt
Filed under: Salmonella enterica subsp. enterica serovar Derby
Lineage: Bacteria; Pseudomonadati; Pseudomonadota; Gammaproteobacteria; Enterobacterales; Enterobacteriaceae
Rfam family: Bacterial large subunit ribosomal RNA
Source: RNAcentral